RNAcentral lists this microRNA precursor (61 nucleotides) under Pristionchus pacificus. RNAcentral describes it as "mir-8364 microRNA precursor family". It matches the Rfam family "mir-8364 microRNA precursor family". Lineage: Eukaryota; Metazoa; Nematoda; Chromadorea; Rhabditida; Neodiplogasteridae. The record is from Rfam by way of RNAcentral.
UCUUCAUUUCACACACUCUCUCGAAGCUCUGACCGGUGAGAGAGUGGGGGAAAUGAAGAGA